ACGCUCGACACCUACGUGAGGCAGCAGUGGGGAAUAUUGCACAAUGGGGGAAACCCUGAUGCAGCGACGCCGCGUGAAGGAAGAAGUAUCUCGGUAUGUAAACUUCUAUCAGCAGGGAAGAAAGUGACGGUACCUGACUAAGAAGCCCCGGCUAACUACGUGCCAGCAGCCGCGGUAAUCUGAGCGGGCUGGCAAGGC
Molecule: ribosomal RNA, 198 nt
Filed under: uncultured bacterium
Lineage: Bacteria
Description: partial 16S ribosomal RNA
Rfam family: Bacterial small subunit ribosomal RNA
Source: RNAcentral